CUAGCAACCACUUUUAAAGUUGCAUUUGCCCUUAUCUCUCUCUCCCUCUUUACUUUCCCACUCAAGACCUAAAUAUCUUUAAGAAUCAGGUUAUUUAGUCCAGCUCUUUCCCACUGACCAAAUCUUUGAGUGGUAGGUACCUCCACUGUUAACUACAUGAAUCACCCAGUUUUUUGCUUUUUAAAGAAAAAAGGAAGAAAACCACCACACACCGGAAUUUUGCUUUAAAAAAUUUCCAAGAAGGCUAGAAAAGGUAUGUUUGGGACCCAUAGACAAUUUCCUUCCACUAAGAUAAAAAGGUUUAAAAAAAAAAAAAUCGGUCUGAUGUGGCGAGCCACGGGAAACGGACAAACAGGGGAUAGAGAGCAACAGAAAGGAGAAAGCCAUCCCGGAACCGGAGCCCCUGGGAGCGCGCGCUCCUCCUCCCACUCCAGCUCACGGAAACCGGAGAACUUAAACCAGGUGCACACCACUGGGACCAGCACUAAGGACCGUGUGAGGCCGAGUCAUUCAGCUACCCGUGCCACAAAAGUGUAGGGCCAGAGGACAGAAUCCGUGCAGUGUCGGUUCUGACGGCUAAGAAGUUCAAGAUCAAGACACUGGCUGUUUAGAAGGCUGGUUGUUGUGUAAUAGUUUCCUCCAAGAUUAAAACAGUCCAUCCUGCAGGAAGCUCCUUAAGCAGGAAGGUGAACAACUCAGAACAGCUUCCGAAGUCCCGGAAACUGACCAGAUUCACGAGGCCCCUCCCUGCCCGAGUAUACAGUUAAAGCUGAAAUACCCCUCAGAUCUAGAGAGCUGUGCUGUAAAGUGUCAGACAAACCAACCUGCCAAGAAAACCAGCCGUCCUGCCUGGAAGAGGUUUAGACCAACUGAGGCACCUGGAGGGACCCUCUUCCACCUGCUGGGCUGCCCACGGGCUGUGCAGUGUGCUGCAGGAUGCUGUCUUUGUGAGCUGUCACCCGUGCUGGGGUGGGCCUUGGUGAUACAGCUGUCUUUGAGUCGUUUCUGCCCCGUAUUCCUGUAAGUAACUUCAAUAAAACUUACGGUUCACCAA
Peromyscus eremicus (cactus mouse) is the source of this 1054-nucleotide long non-coding RNA. RefSeq lists it as uncharacterized. NCBI's taxonomy places the organism in Eukaryota, Metazoa, Chordata, Mammalia, Rodentia, Cricetidae. The record is from RefSeq and is a predicted model, not a curated record. The transcript is spliced from 4 exons.